This 468-nucleotide ribosomal RNA is filed under the name uncultured bacterium. Its description in RNAcentral is "partial 16S ribosomal RNA". It matches the Rfam family "Bacterial small subunit ribosomal RNA", at positions 28 to 507 of the family's 1533-position model. The record is from RNAcentral.
GACGAACGCUGGCGGCGUGCUUAACACAUGCAAGUCGAACGGAAAGGCCCUGCUUUUGUGGGGUGCUCGAGUGGCGAACGGGUGAGUAACACGUGAGUAACCUGCCCUUGACUUUGGGAUAACUUCAGGAAACUGGGGCUAAUACCGGAUAGGAGCUCCUGCUGCAUGGUGGGGGUUGGAAAGUUUCGGCGGUUGGGGAUGGACUCGCGGCUUAUCAGCUUGUUGGUGGGGUAGUGGCUUACCAAGGCUUUGACGGGUAGCCGGCCUGAGAGGGUGACCGGCCACAUUGGGACUGAGAUACGGCCCAGACUCCUACGGGAGGCAGCAGUGGGGAAUAUUGCACAAUGGGAGGGAGCCUGAUGCAGCAACGCCGCGUGCGGGAUGACGGCCUUCGGGUUGUAAACCGCUUUCGCCUGUGACGAAGCGUGAGUGACGGUAAUGGGUAAAGAAGCACCGGCUAACUACGUG